Molecule: long non-coding RNA, 557 nt
Filed under: Felis catus (domestic cat)
Lineage: Eukaryota; Metazoa; Chordata; Mammalia; Carnivora; Felidae
Description: lncRNA (ENSFCAG00000045756.2)
Source: RNAcentral
AUGGCCAUUUCUAACAACCCUCCUUCCUUGCCUUCUUCCCAAGUACUAAUACUCCCAACCUCUUUUGCACUCCGGGAUGAUCAGGAGACCCACGGAGUCAUAAGGAAAAGCCAGCUGGGGAAAGAGCCUCUUUCGGAUAAAAGGAGGGAUGGGCAUGGGGAAAGAGCAAGGAGUCCAUGGAAAUUCUGCUUGUUAGUGAUGGUGAACUGGAGUGGCCUGGAUAUUUGAAUCAGCACCCUGGGUUUUUCAGCAGAUACCGGGGUUUUUCAGGUAUUUCAGAACUACACAGUCCUCCCAUGUUAUCAUCCUGUUGACUUUCCACAGUGAGUGGAAGGGGUCAUUCUCCCUAUUUUAGAGAAGAGGAAUGGAAGUCCAGAGAGGCUGAGUGACUGGGGAGCAGGUCGGGUGGCGAAUCAUCGGAGAGGCUGUGAUGUGAACUUGGCUUUUUGGGUGCUGAACCCAGCAGUAUUUCUUAUCUCGUGGUGGUGACCUUUGCAGGGUGACUGGUUUAUCCGGCGUUCUGGUGGAUCGGAGGUCAAGGCCAGGGGAGAGGCCUG